Polyodon spathula (Mississippi paddlefish) is the source of this 420-nucleotide long non-coding RNA. RefSeq lists it as uncharacterized. The transcript has 5 exons. The record is from RefSeq and is a predicted model, not a curated record. NCBI's taxonomy places the organism in Eukaryota, Metazoa, Chordata, Actinopteri, Acipenseriformes, Polyodontidae.
AGAGCGGGGGGGCCAGAAGCCCGGAGGGCGCUGGCAAGGGUGAGAGAGAGGCUGGAGAAGAGGCCAGAACGGGGGGGCCAGAACCAGUCCAGCGAGGGUCUGGCUCUCACUCAGGAUGACAGGAGGCUGCAGAGCGCUGACCUGCACACACUGACCAUCAAACAGCUGGACACUCUGAAGGAAAGACUGAGCCAGGCUGUGCAGGAUCUGAGCUCGGAGCUGGUUGGUUUGCUGUUGUCACGUGACCAACUGAAGACGGAGCAGGAUGCCAUCUUACUGGAGGUGGAGGACUUGACCGCGUUUGCAGAGAACGAACGAACUCACCAGCACAGGAGGACUCCAAGAUGACCAGUGGAACACUGCGUCCUGGUCAGGGGGGGAUCCUCCAGUCAAGCUGAUAUAAAAAAUCUCAGAGCCAGG